Molecule: ribosomal RNA, 463 nt
Filed under: uncultured bacterium
Lineage: Bacteria
Description: partial 16S ribosomal RNA
Rfam family: Bacterial small subunit ribosomal RNA
Source: RNAcentral
GAUGAACGCUGACAGAAUGCUUAACACAUGCAAGUCGAUGGGGAAGUGGUGCUUGCACCCUGGCAACCAUGGCGGACGGGUGAGUAACGCGUAAGGGACUUACCUGCAGGACUGGGAUAACAGGGGGAAACUCCUGACAAGACCGGAUAAUGUCAUGGAGCUGCAUGGCUUUAUGAUGAAAGGAGACGCCUGCGGAGAGCCUUGCGUCCUAUUAGCUAGUUGGUGAGGUAAUGGCUCACCAAGGCGAAGAUAGGUAGCCGGCCUGAGAGGGUGGACGGCCACAAGGGGACUGAGAUACGGCCCUUACUCCUACGGGAGGCAGCAGUGGGGAAUAUUGGACAAUGGGGGCAACCCUGAUCCAGCAAUUCUGUGUGCACGAAGAAGGUUUUCGGAUUGUAAAGUGCUUUCAGCAGGGAAGAAGUAAGUGACGGUACCUGCAGAAGAAGCGACGGCUAAAUACGUG